Molecule: small RNA, 28 nt
Filed under: Bombyx mori (domestic silkworm)
Lineage: Eukaryota; Metazoa; Arthropoda; Insecta; Lepidoptera; Bombycidae
Description: ovarian small RNA-28123
Source: RNAcentral
UCGAAAAGUUUCUGUGAAGCCAUCUCAC